This 287-nucleotide unclassified non-coding RNA is filed under the name fungal sp. RNAcentral's name for it is "partial internal transcribed spacer region". The stretch from base 1 to 46 matches the Rfam family "Eukaryotic small subunit ribosomal RNA", at positions 1786 to 1831 of the family's 1831-position model. Lineage: Eukaryota; Fungi. The record is from RNAcentral.
AAGUCGUAACAAGGUAUCUGUAGGUGAACCUGCAGAUGGAUCAUUUCGAUGAAAAACCUUUUUUCUUGAGGUGUGGCUCGCACCUGUCUAACUAAACUUGAGCUACCCCCUUUUAACACGGUUGCAUCGGUUGGCUGUCCAACAGCGCGGACCUCGCGUUCGCUGCUGGAAAGGCGGUCGACACUUUUUACACCAAAACACUUUUGAUGAUCUAGGAGUUGAAUGAAAAAAAAAGUUUAAUUUUUUAACUAAAAAACAACUUUUGGCAACGGAUCUCUUGGUUCUCC